GUAGAAUAAAUUGACGUGAAUAUACUCAGGGGGCGGGGUUAGAGGGGGCAGUUCACGAUUCCUCUGGCUUUCCAAAUGAACGUAUUAGUUCCGGGAGAAUUGUUACCGUUAGUGUGAAUAGGAACAGCUACUGCACAGGGCUAAGUACGGAUAAUGAACAAACACAUGUAUGUAAGGGGUCUCUGUGUAUUCCGACAUGUAUUCCAGCUGUAAAAUUAAGCGUUUAGUUGAUGCCAUGUGUUUGGUUUUUUUUAUUAUGUGAGACGGAAAAAUAGACAAAGCUUCUGAAACUGUGACACAGUCUUUAUUCCUCAAUUUAACAAACUUGGCCGAAUCCAGUAAAGUAACAAUGCCCUUAAACGGGGAACACAGACGGAGACCUCGCCUCGGAGUCAACAUUACCGUCUAAAAGAGGAACCGUUCUCACGCAAUUAUUCUCCUGUCACGUGCCAUCGUACGCAGAGGCGAUGAUGAAAUCUUAACUAUAUUAAAAACAAACAAACAAAAAAAACUCCAACUGUGACUGAAAGAUUUUACGAAUCUUAAUGAAGCUUUGAAUGAAAAA
This is a long non-coding RNA of Tachysurus fulvidraco (yellow catfish), 565 nucleotides long. RefSeq lists it as uncharacterized. The transcript is spliced from 2 exons. Lineage: Eukaryota; Metazoa; Chordata; Actinopteri; Siluriformes; Bagridae. The record is from RefSeq and is a predicted model, not a curated record.